CGUGUAGGCGGUUUGGUAAGUCAGAUGUAAAAGGUCCCGGCUUAACCGGGGAUGGUCAUUUGAAACUGCCAGGCUUGAGUUCGAGAGAGGGUAGCGGAAUUCCCAGUGUAGCGGUGAAAUGCGUAGAUAUUGGGAAGAACACCAGUAGCGAAGGCGGCUACCUGGCUCGCAACUGACGCUAAGGCGCGAAAGCGUGGGGAGCAAACA
Molecule: ribosomal RNA, 207 nt
Filed under: uncultured bacterium
Lineage: Bacteria
Description: partial 16S ribosomal RNA
Rfam family: Bacterial small subunit ribosomal RNA
Source: RNAcentral